RNAcentral lists this ribosomal RNA (1558 nucleotides) under Escherichia coli. RNAcentral's name for it is "bacterial LSU rRNA". It matches the Rfam family "Bacterial large subunit ribosomal RNA", at positions 1271 to 2812 of the family's 2925-position model. The record is from RNAcentral. Lineage: Bacteria; Pseudomonadati; Pseudomonadota; Gammaproteobacteria; Enterobacterales; Enterobacteriaceae.
UGCUGGAGGUAUCAGAAGUGCGAAUGCUGACAUAAGUAACGAUAAAGCGGGUGAAAAGCCCGCUCGCCGGAAGACCAAGGGUUCCUGUCCAACGUUAAUCGGGGCAGGGUGAGUCGACCCCUAAGGCGAGGCCGAAAGGCGUAGUCGAUGGGAAACAGGUUAAUAUUCCUGUACUUGGUGUUACUGCGAAGGGGGGACGGAGAAGGCUAUGUUGGCCGGGCGACGGUUGUCCCGGUUUAAGCGUGUAGGCUGGUUUUCCAGGCAAAUCCGGAAAACUAAGGCUGAGGCGUGAUGACGAGGCACUACGGUGCUGAAGCAACAAAUGCCCUGCUUCCAGGAAAAGCCUCUAAGCAUCAGGUAACAUCAAAUCGUACCCCAAACCGACACAGGUGGUCAGGUAGAGAAUACCAAGGCGCUUGAGAGAACUCGGGUGAAGGAACUAGGCAAAAUGGUGCCGUAACUUCGGGAGAAGGCACGCUGAUAUGUAGGUGAAGCGACUUGCUCGUGGAGCUGAAAUCAGUCGAAGAUACCAGCUGGCUGCAACUGUUUAUUAAAAACACAGCACUGUGCAAACACGAAAGUGGACGUAUACGGUGUGACGCCUGCCCGGUGCCGGAAGGUUAAUUGAUGGGGUUAGCGGUAACGCGAAGCUCUUGAUCGAAGCCCCGGUAAACGGCGGCCGUAACUAUAACGGUCCUAAGGUAGCGAAAUUCCUUGUCGGGUAAGUUCCGACCUGCACGAAUGGCGUAAUGAUGGCCAGGCUGUCUCCACCCGAGACUCAGUGAAAUUGAACUCGCUGUGAAGAUGCAGUGUACCCGCGGCAAGACGGAAAGACCCCGUGAACCUUUACUAUAGCUUGACACUGAACAUUGAGCCUUGAUGUGUAGGAUAGGUGGGAGGCUUUGAAGUGUGGACGCCAGUCUGCAUGGAGCCGACCUUGAAAUACCACCCUUUAAUGUUUGAUGUUCUAACGUUGACCCGUGAUCCGGGUUGCGGACAGUGUCUGGUGGGUAGUUUGACUGGGGCGGUCUCCUCCUAAAGAGUAACGGAGGAGCACGAAGGUUGGCUAAUCCUGGUCGGACAUCAGGAGGUUAGUGCAAUGGCAUAAGCCAGCUUGACUGCGAGCGUGACGGCGCGAGCAGGUGCGAAAGCAGGUCAUAGUGAUCCGGUGGUUCUGAAUGGAAGGGCCAUCGCUCAACGGAUAAAAGGUACUCCGGGGAUAACAGGCUGAUACCGCCCAAGAGUUCAUAUCGACGGCGGUGUUUGGCACCUCGAUGUCGGCUCAUCACAUCCUGGGGCUGAAGUAGGUCCCAAGGGUAUGGCUGUUCGCCAUUUAAAGUGGUACGCGAGCUGGGUUUAGAACGUCGUGAGACAGUUCGGUCCCUAUCUGCCGUGGGCGCUGGAGAACUGAGGGGGGCUGCUCCUAGUACGAGAGGACCGGAGUGGACGCAUCACUGGUGUUCGGGUUGUCAUGCCAAUGGCACUGCCCGGUAGCUAAAUGCGGAAGAGAUAAGUGCUGAAAGCAUCUAAGCACGAAACUUGCCCCGAGAUGAGUUCU